GGAGCUUGCUCCAUUACCUAGUGGCGGACGGGUGAGUAACACGUGAGCAACCUGGCCCAGAGUGGGGGAUAACGUCCGGAAACGGACGCUAAUACCGCAUGAAGUGCAGGAGGGGCAUCCCUCUUGUACCAAAGGAGUAAUCCGCUUUGGGAUGGGCUCGCGUCCGAUUAGAUAGUUGGUGGGGUAAUGGCUCACCAAGUCUGCGAUCGGUAGCCGGACUGAGAGGUUGAACGGCCACAUUGGGACUGAGACACGGCCCAGACUCCUACGGGAGGCAGCAGUGGGGGAUAUUGCACAAUGGGGGAAACCCUGAUGCAGCGACGCCGCGUGGGUGAAGACGGCCUUCGGGUUGUAAAGCCCUGUUGCAGAGGACGAUAAUGACGGUACUCUGUCAGAAAGCCACGGCUAACUACGUGCCAGCAGCCGCGGUAAUACGUAGGUGGCAAGCGUUGUCCGGAAUUACUGGGUGUAAAGGGAGCGUAGGCGGGACCUUAAGUUGGAUGUGAAAUGCCGCGGCUUAACCGCGGAGCUGCAUCCAAAACUGGGGUUCUUGAGUGAAGUAGAGGUAGGCGGAAUUCCUAGUGUAGCGGUGAAAUGCGUAGAUAUUAGGAGGAACACCAGUGGCGAAGGCGGCCUACUGGGCUUUAACUGACGCUGAGGCUC
RNAcentral lists this ribosomal RNA (663 nucleotides) under uncultured bacterium. Its description in RNAcentral is "bacterial SSU rRNA". It matches the Rfam family "Bacterial small subunit ribosomal RNA", at positions 75 to 754 of the family's 1533-position model. The record is from RNAcentral.